RNAcentral lists this ribosomal RNA (253 nucleotides) under uncultured bacterium. RNAcentral describes it as "partial 16S ribosomal RNA". It matches the Rfam family "Bacterial small subunit ribosomal RNA", at positions 524 to 776 of the family's 1533-position model. The record is from RNAcentral.
UACAGAGGGUGCGAGCGUUAAUCGGAAUUACUGGGCGUAAAGCGUGCGUAGGUGGUUGUUUAAGUCUGUUGUGAAAGCCCUGGGCUCAACCUGGGAAUUGCAGUGGAUACUGGGCGACUAGAGUGUGGUAGAGGGUAGUGGAAUUCCCGGUGUAGCAGUGAAAUGCGUAGAGAUCGGGAGGAACAUCCAUGGCGAAGGCAGCUACCUGGACCAACACUGACACUGAGGCACGAAAGCGUGGGGAGCAAACAGG